This is an RNA transcript of Panicum virgatum (switchgrass), 5931 nucleotides long. RefSeq lists it as uncharacterized. The transcript has 10 exons. Lineage: Eukaryota; Viridiplantae; Streptophyta; Magnoliopsida; Poales; Poaceae. The record is from RefSeq and is a predicted model, not a curated record.
CGCAGGUGCUUGGAGGCGGAAAGAAUCAGGGGAGAAAUGGCUGCCGCGUGGGGAUCAUGAGGAAGAACUUCGGCCAUGUUAUGAUGGCCCUUGCAGUAGAUGUUCCUCAUUUUGUGGGAGUGCCGAUGACUCCACCAGACCCAAUUCUUGGGGUUUCAGAAGCCUUCUAAAGCAGAUAAAAAUGACCUGAUGCUCAAUCUUGGUGUUGGUGCCUAUAGAACAGAAGAGUUGCAGCCCUAUGUCCUCAAUGUAGUCAAGAAGGCUGAAAAUCUUAUGUUGGAGAAAGGAGAAAACAAUGAGUAUCUUCCUAUUGAAGGCUUAACAACAUUUAACAAAGCAACUGCAGAGCUACUCCUUGGAGCUGGCAACCUCGUCAUCAAGCAAGGACUGUUUCUAUACCAAGUCAUCAACAAUAUGGAGUAGAGGAAGAUGACAUGGAUCUGGAGUUCUAGACAGUUUAUAAAUCAAAUGUCACAAGCAUUGGUAAAAAAAAGGAAAAACAAGGUCGGGCAGAAUUCAAGGAAAAGCAAUCCUUUUUUUCUGUUGGAGAAAAAUAUCCACAGUAUGCAGAGUGUAAAAAAGUUUAAUCACUACUGCUAUAAAGUUUUUGUUCGAUAUUUUUUUAUGUACUGACAGAAAUCUUUUCCCCCCUCCUUAUCACACUUUUUUUCUAUCUUCAAAGUUUUCUAUCUAAAUCUUUUUCCACAUAAUAUGUUUUUUUAAGCUCGCAAUAUGUUUUUUUAGUCAACAUAUGUUUUAGUCGAAAUAUAAUAUUUUUCUAGCACACAUUUAUUCUUAAAUAAAUGUUUCUCUCAAAAAAUUUCAAUAUUAUGUUAUCCUUUAUAAUUUUUUUCGAUAAAACUUUUUCCAAUUUUUUUUCAAUAAUACGAUCCUAAGCACGAAUGUCAAAAGUUUUACAAGUAUUUAAUUUUUCAAUAAAUUUAUAUUAUUUUUAUCAAUUUUUCCAGUUCUUUUUCAAUAUAAUAUUUUGUUUAAAAGUUACUUUUAUUUUGAUUCCCCCACCCAUAUUUUACACCCAAAUAUUCCACAUCCCGAAAAAAAAUGGCUUCUGAAAAAAAUUUCAUGCUUUCGUGCACGCUCAGAAUAGCAGGAAAGCGAAACACGGAAAGAGAAAGGUGCGCGCUCAGAAUAGCAAGAAAGCGGAACACGGAAAGGGAAAGAUAGGAUCCGCACACAUACCAAAAAAGGAAAUAUGCGGCUGUCGGAAAUCGAUCAUACAGUCGCAUUCCCACGGGCGCCCGCAAAUUAGAAUCCGCGAACGCCGUUCCGAUUCGAGGGUCGGGGUUGAACAUGCUCAAUGUCAUAUUCAAGGUUGGAUCGUGUUCCGGUCUGAAAGGGGUCGCAGCCCCAUUGUUAGCAGAUUUAAUUAGGAUAAGGAGGUUAAGGACAGUGGAUUGGUGUGGUUUUUGUUAGACAAUGAUGAGCUGAGUACGUGUAGCAUGGUCUAAAUGUACUCUUUUAUAUAUUUCUUAUAUACUUGUGCAGAUUAGUUUUUUUACUAGUAACACAUAUAUAGAUUUUGUCUUUAUCGACCCGAAGAUAUCGACCCCGAUGAAUCAGGGUCGCAUUCCACAUAAUAAUUUAUCGUUCCAUAGAUGUAUACCCUCUUUGUACCACAAAUUUAUAAAGCGACGACUCUCGACCCUCGACCCCGUUGCUCGACCCGAUCAACUCAGAAACUUUGUGACUACUCGUCCGUGGGGAGAGUAAAAGAAGAUUAAAAAAAUCUGACGUGUGGGUCUUGUAGUUGGUAGUUGGUAUAAAGAGGAAUAUAGAGGAUAAAUGGGUGCAGCGAAACUAGAUAUAGAGAAGAGAAUCUCGAUGACCAAACAAAAAUAUUUCUUUUAGAGAAUGAUUUUAUAGUAGGACGAGUACAGAUAGCCUCAACUCGCCACCUCCUUUGCUUGCUUGCGCUCAUCCUCUCUCUAACCAGGCUUCCUCCCUUCAUUGCCAUCCCCAAUCUCCAAAUCCAUCUCUGGUCCAGACUCCGUCUUCCUCCUUUUAUCGCCCCUCCCCAAUCUCCAAAUCCAUCUCUGGUCCUGACUCCGUUCGCUCUCACCAUGGACCCCCCUUCCCGUUUUGUCAUGAAUCUUGGAUGCGCCCCCCGUUAUCUGCAGCGAGUAGAAGAGCCCGUUUUCCGUUGCUUCUGUGGGGAUCCCGCUUGGUCCAUGACCUCAGGGACGCCCCGGAAUCCUGGUCGGAAAUUCUUCAUCUGCCACAAGGCCGGAUUCGGGAGGGGCUGCAAACUUUGGAUUUGGGAGGAUGUGCUUAUGCGAUAUGUUACAAAUCAACCUAUGUUACAAAUUUCAUCCUUUUUUCCAGCUCUCGUGCUGUGUGUCCUAACCAAACCUAUGUUUUCAAUCAGUAACAGAUUUACUUGGUAAUGGAACUAGGGUUUUGAGUAUAGAUUUGUCUGAUAAUGCAGAUGAAUAUUGUAAAGGUCCUGAAAUUCAAAUCCCACAUCAACCGGGAUCACCAGAAUACACUUUGCACCGCUCCAUCUCUGAAAAAUUCACCAUCCGAAGGCUUUUUGCUUGCCUUAAUGCAAAUUCAAGCAACAUGGUCCCUGAACGUUCUCUUGUUAUGGAACCAAUCUCCAAUAAUGAUGUAAGAGGAUCGCCGUUGAGUAGUCCUUCUUCCCCCUUCGGAUCGGAGGAAGACUGUUAGCCCUGGUUCGGUGUGACUGUAGAAUCUGACAAGAUGGAAGACACUGUGGGCCUGAUUGCCUAAUUGUGUUUUGCGUUUCUGAGGGUGCUUUAGUUCCUAGGUUAGGGUGCCCCUAAUUAUGGUACCCGACAUACUCAUUUAGUAAGUCCAGAAUUUUUUUGCCUUACCAAACAGAUGUACUUUGUUUAGACUUUUCUUAUCUAUAAUACUAGUAGUACCUUUUUUACCCUAUAUACUCUAAAUUCAAUCUUUUUAUAAGUAUAAGUAUGUGUUGUCACCGGGAGUAAUUGUUCAAACCUCCAAUUUUGCAUAUUGUUGACUCCGUAGAUACAUACUUUUUCAUUGGUGGUAUUAAACUUUUAGCAUUAGCUCUAAAGAUUACAUUGCAUUCCUUUUGCACUGCAGAAAAAAUAUGAGGUGCAGGCAGGCAAAAUGUUCAGUGCAAACCACCUUCUCGAUGGGUUGAUCUUUAAAACCCCUUUAAAAAGACUUAGACAUUUUUUUAAAAAAAUAUUAAAAUUAUACGCCUCUAUAGUACAUCUAUAGAUAUAUAUUGCUACCAAAUUUGAGAUUUGAACUCCAUCUAGAGAAAAAAACAUACAAAAAGAAUAAAUUAAAGUUCAAUAGCACUAGAAGACAAAUUUUCUAAGAAUUAGUUUUCUAAUGCAUAUAUGCACCCAAAAUUUACCUUUGUGUACGUACGAUUUUUUUUAUACAAUGAUGAUGAUGAUUUUGGAUCCCAAAUUUGGUGACAAUUCAUAUGUAUAAAUGCACUAUGGAUGUGCGUCGUUCUAGGCUUUUGAAAAAUUCUAAGUUUUCCAAGAGGGUUUCCAUGAUUUCAACCGUGAGGGUGGUUUUCGCUCAAUGUUUUCUUGGUUUGCAAAAGUCACUCCCAAUCUUGGCUUUUAGAGCAAGAUAAAGAAAAACUAGUCUACAACAACUUUGUUUUUUUGUGAAACUACUCUACAACAACUCUCUAUAUGAACUCCCAAUCUUUUUCACACCUAGGAAAUCCUACUAAUCACGUGGAUAUAUAUACAUGCGCAUAUCAUCGGCCAAUCCAAAUGGAGAAGGACAUGGGAAAAAUAAGUAGGAUAGUGUUCCAAAAUGGAGAACAACAUGUGAAAGAUAAGUAGGAUAGUAUUCUUGAUGCAAAAGAAGUAUAAAUAGUUGGGACUUGGGGAUAAUUUAGAAAUAGUAUGAAAGAUUGUGAUUCAAGAUUAUUAUUUUCCAUCUGUUGUGAGCGAGAUUUUUAGAAACAAUUGAAGAAAGCCAAUAAAUAUGCUGUCAACUUUGUUUUUUAGUCACUUACAUAAGCUCAUUAAUUUACCAAGUGAUAUUUUUAGAAACUAUUGAAGAUGCUCUUAUUUAUUACCACACGCUACCUCCAUCAUUCUCUUGAGUGAUCAGAGAAUGAAAAGUGAGAACAUAUAGUACCUGACAGUAACAAAGACAGAUGAAUGGUCCACUGUCCGCGCAUUCUCAUAAAACAAUUAAUUACUAGAAAGCAUAGUCCGUGCAUUUGAUGUGACUAGUUAAUAUUGUGGCACGCAUGUGUAUGGUUGUAUAUGACACAGUCCCAUGUCUAAGCAAUGCGAUGUGUAUGAUUGUGAUAAUCUCACGCCUAAGCAUGAGAUGGAAGUCGUUCCAACAAAGUUAGGAUGCAAAGUGUCAUUAUAAAUAGGAUCAAAUAUAUGAUUAAUUGAAUAAAAAAAGCAUUAAAGCAAUCACAUAUUCUUGGUAUUUUUUAUUAUAUUUUUAUUUAAAUAUUUUUCAUUUCUACAAGUACUCAUUUAAGUUCUAAAUUGUAGGUCAUUUUAAUUGUACUAGCUAUAUAUAACUUUUACUGUGCACCUAGAUAUAAAGAUAUCAUAGUUCUUUUAAAAUAGGAAAAUCUACUAUAUACUAUAUAUAGGAACAAAGAUGACUGAUGCUACUAACAAGCCGUAGCUGCAUUUCAAGCUUUGUUUUUAAGCCAAACUAUCUGAAUUUGGACUAGAUUUAUAUAGAAGAUUAUAAAUAUACAAAUAAGUAUACUAUAUAUAUGAUGGGGGCAGGGACCCAGGGUCCCCAGCGGGCCCACUUUAAGUGGCACUAGCCCAGCAUCCCGUUAGGCGCACUCCAGCAAAGCACACGAGGGGCACGGACGGAUGCCAACCUCCGGGGCCCGGCUCGGCCAAUUGCCGACCCUUUGGAGAGGGACACGUGGAGGCCUCCCGACCAAGGACCCGCCGGGUCCACUCCGUACCGCGCGGCCCGAGCCAUGCGCACCAACAACGCCGCUUGGUACAACGGACGUGCCGAUCAAGCCAGCCCCCGUUCAUCCGUACACGCCGCCCAUUCCUGCCACACGCCACACCCGCACGAUCAACAAGACCCUCUGACAUGGACACAGUGUAGGCCGUGCAGCCUACUCGACCUAACGGAUGGGGGACGGGAAAGGGCAUCAACAAGCUCCGUCCCGCACGCUGUAAUGAUGGCUCCCCCUGACGCCACGCCAUUACGCCAGGGACUGUGACAGGGCCAGGCCGCCUGACCAUGUCAGGACACCCCUCAACCGGCGUGCCGUCCUCGGGUCAGAAGCGACACCCCUCAACCGGCGUGCCGUCCUCGGGUCAGAAGUCACAAAGGGAAGGUCGUGCGGUGCCAAUACGGACGGACAGGAGAGAAGAUGCAAGCCCCGACCGAGUACCGAAGCCACUCCGACUAACCAAUAUGGGACAACAGCUUGACAACCCGUCACCCAAGAAAACCGACCAGACACAGCCUCUCCACUCCCGACCGACCAAGCGGGACCGCUGACUGACGAAGACGAAGGACCCCCCGGCAGACCAAGAUAUCACGAUAGAAAUAUGUAAAUUGGGGGGCCCAUCUUGAAGUAUAAAAGGGAAAGCCCCUCACGUAGGAGAGAGAGUUCGAGAGAACAGUCCACUGCUCGAAAGCUUAUAAGCUCCCCAAAAACUUUGAGCAUCUAGACUCGAGCAAUAGAGCAAGAGAACCACCCCCAUACUAGACGUAGGACAUUUUCCGGCCCGAACUAGUUUAAAUCCUCGAGUCAUUGUGUGCUAGACCAUUCCGAUCUAACGCACGAGACACUAGCAGUCGAGUAGUUUGUUCGUCAGUCAUAUUCCGAGCCGACAUAUAUAUAUUGGUAUAUAUAUUUUUUUAUAGAUUUUAUUUAAAGUCUUAAACGUAAAAGUGUAGCUGGGGAGCACAUACACACGGAUUUUCUCAGGUUCAUAC